UACAGAGGGGGCAAGCGUUGUUCGGAAUUACUGGGCGUAAGGGGCGCGUAGGCGGCCUGCUAAGUCGAACGUGAAAUCCCUGGGCUCAACCCAGGAACUGCGUCCGAUACUGGUUGGCUUGAAUCCGGGAGAGGGAUGUGGAAUUCCAGGUGUAGCGGUGAAAUGCGUAGAUAUCUGGAGGAACACCGGUGGCGAAGGCGGCAUCCUGGACCGGUAUUGACGCUGAGGCGCGAAAGCCAGGGGAGCAAACGGG
RNAcentral lists this ribosomal RNA (253 nucleotides) under uncultured bacterium. Its description in RNAcentral is "partial 16S ribosomal RNA". It matches the Rfam family "Bacterial small subunit ribosomal RNA", at positions 524 to 776 of the family's 1533-position model. The record is from RNAcentral.